UUUUUGCUGCCUUUAGAAUCCUUAUCUUUAACUUUUGCCAUUUUUAUUAUAAUACGUCUUGGUGUGGUCUUGUUUGGGUUCAACUUGUUGCGGUCCUCUGUGCUUCCUAUACCUUGAUAGCAGUUUCUUUUAGAUUUGGAAAGUUUUCAGACAUAAUUUCUUCAAAUAUAUUUUCAAUCCCCUUUUCUUUUUCUUCUCCUUCUGGAAUUCCUCUUAUGCAUUGAUUGGCCUGCUUUAUAUUAUCUCUUAGAUCUUUUAUAUUUCUUUCAUGUUUCUUCAUUGGGUUUUCUGUCUGCUGUCCUGAUUCAGUGAUUUCCAUUAUUCUAUCUUUCAAGUCACUAAUUUGUUCUUCUGCAUUAUUCAUUCUGCUCUUUAGUGCCUUUAGCUCAGUUUGUGUCUCUGUAAAUGAAUUUUCUAAUUUUUCUAUGUCCCUCCUUAUAUUUUAUAGUUCCUUUGUAAAGGAAUCUGCAUUACAGUUCAUAUCUUCUCUUGAUUCCUUGAUAUUCAGCCUUAAUUCCUUCAGUAUUUUCACUACCUCCCUUUUGAACUCAGUGUCUAUCAGACUGCAGAGGUCUGUUUCAUAUUUGCUGUUUAAUAUGAAUUCUCCUGUUCCUUUAACUGGGAAUUGUUUCUGAGCUUCUUCAUCUAGCUUAAGUCUUUCUUUGUCUCUUAGUUUAGGGAAGCCAAACUGUAGUCUUGGAGGGCUACUUCUAUGCAAGAGCACCCCUUUGUAUUUUGUGUGUGUGGGGGGGUUACUAUUUAUUUUUAGCAUGGGAGUUUGAAUAUUAGCUCUCUGUUUCUUCAGUGUGAGCAGGCUGUUACCCCAGGGGUGCUGAGUGUGUUUCCAGGGAGAAGGAAGCAAUGGCUAGGGCUGGCAGUAAGUGCAUGUUUGAUGGGGCUCUUAACAGCAACAAGGACCUGUAGAGAGGUGGCACAGGCUACUCCUAGUUGCAGGGCCCUGGGAAGUGGCGAUGAGCCCUAGGCAUAUUUACAAGGUGCUCAGAGCAUUUGGCAAUGGCAACAGCAUGGUGUGUGUGUUCCAGGGUGGGGGAGGGGACAACAAUUAGUGUUCAAUCACAAUGCCCUCCUCUGAGAUGACUGGAGCCACUGGUGGUGCCUGUUCAGGGACCCCUAGUGGUAGUGGGCCAUGACCACCUCUGGAGUCAGUGAUAACUGUGGUGGUUUGCCCCUGCCUCCUGCAGACUAUGCAAAAAUCACCCACAUCUCACUCAGCCCACACAGGAGGUGCUGCAAAGUUUGCUCCUAGUUGCAAGAUCCUGUGAAAUGACAGAGAUCAAGCAUGUGGGCACUGCCUGGAGCAUUCAGCAGUGGCAGAGGGCGGGCUGGUGUGUUCCUGGGGGUGCAAGAGCAAAAACACAUGGUAUUCAGUCACAGUGCCCUCCUCUGUGGUUGCCCCUGAGGUGACUGGGGCCACAAGUGGUGCUUGUUCAUGGACCCAUAGUGGUGGUGGCCAUGCCCACCUCUGGAGUCAGCUAUUACUGCAGUGGUUUGCCCCCACCACCUAUAGACCAUGCAAGAAGCACUUCAUUCCUCUUAGCCCCACAGAAUGUGCUGCACCAGCUGCUCCUAGUUGUAGGUUCCCAGGAAGGGGCAGUGAUCAAGCGUCUGGGAACUGCCCAGAGUGUUUGGCAGUGGCAGCAGCAGAGCAGGUGUGCUCCCAGGGCAGUAAGAGCAACAACAGGUGGUAUUUCAUUGCAAUGUCCUCCUCUGUGGUGCCCUCUGAGGUGAUUGGGGCUGCAAGUGGUUCUUGUUCAGGGAUACCCAUCAGCAGUGAACCACACUCACCUCUGGAGUCAGAGAUAACUGUGGUGGUUUGCCCCUGCCACAUGCAGACCAUGCAAGAAGCACCCCAUCCCACCUAACCCAUUCCGGAGGUGCUGCACCAGCUGCUCCUCAUUGUAGAGUCUUGGCAAGGGACAGUAAUCAAGCAUCUGCAUGCUGCCCAGAAUGUUCGGCAGUGGCAGCUGUGGUGGGGUGGGGGGUGUUCCCAGUGGAGUGAGAGGAACAAUGCGUGGUGCUUGGUUGCAGUGCCCUCUUUUUUUUUUCCAACCCCUGAGGUGACUGGGGCUGCAGGUGGAGCCUCCUCACAGGACCCCAGAGGUAGCAGGCCAUGCCUCCCUCUGGCCCCCAAGAUGACUGUCACAGUCUGUCCUGGCCACCUGUAGAGGCACCACUUCACACUUAGCCCCUGCUGCCCUUAGCCCACACAAGAGGUGCCCAUCCACCCAUAGCCUGAACAAGAAGCGCCCAGUCUUCCAUAGCCAGAGCAAGUGGCUUCUCGCCACCAGUAGCCUGCACCAGAGGCACCCUACACUCUGAGAGCCCAUGCAUGUGCGCACAGGGAGAUUCCCAUGGAGGGCCUCUCCUUCUCCUCUUUCUCUCCCCAACAAUGGUGCCUUGCUUUUUCUGCAGGCCCAGACCUUCUCCUGGGUUCCCUCUGCCAUGGCAUUCUACUCCCCAGCCCGUAGUACACUGCUCUCCAGCCUAUAGCACACCACUCCCCAGCCCAUGACACACAGCUCCUUAGCCUCCCAGGCUGUCCCCACAGAGCCAACCCUAGUCCUCUCCCCAGAACUGACCUUCGGAGCCUAAGUCUCAGCAUCAAGCCCCCACCCGAGUGUCUCAAGCUGUGGUGUCCAGUGUGGUGAUGCAGAUGAUCUGUGCAGCUCUCACUCUAUUUUGCCCUCCUCUCAUCUCUUAUUACACUUCUAUUUUCCCUUUUUUCAUAGUUAUUGUGAUCUUCUAAUAAACUACCUAACUUACUCAUUGAUUGGUUUUAGUGUUUAUUAUUUAUUUUUCUCUGUUAGAACAAUAGCUCCAUGAAGACGAGGCCCUUUGUCUAUUUUCUCACUGAUACUCCCCAAACAUGUAGAAGUAUGCUUGGAACAUAGUGGUCAAUAAAUAUAUGUUGAACUAAUGCAGUUUAGAACCUUCCCCACUUGCACCUUGUUCACAUAUCCUAGGCUGAAGGCAAUGAGAACUCUGCCUUCUCCCACCAAGACAGAGAAACUCUUGCCAUUACAGAAACCUGAACAAAGAGACCAAGGGCUGAAAACAAGGUAAUUGUAGAUUAGACACCAAUUGAGAGCAUCAGAAAAGCUUUUUGACCCUUUAGGAAGGAAGCAUCAAUUCUCUUUAUUCAUCUCCAGCCCUGGAAGGAUAUUGAUUCAAUAGCAGGUUUUUUCUUUCUUGGUUUGGGGAAUCAAGGAACCCUACUCUUGUAAAUAAUUAACAACUAACUAGGAUAAAGAGGUUGAUUUGUAGAUUGAUAUCAACCUAUCUCCAUUCAGUUUUACUCCCAUGAAAAGUGCUUGGCACACUCACAUAGGAUUGUCUAAAAAGUUUAUCAUGGCCACCUACUGUUUCCCAGGGAAUUCCUAAAACUUACCUUCUAUUUCUAAGAACCUGAAGAUGGCUUUCCCUUGUCUCUUCUUGCCUUUUUUUUUUUUCAUAAGUUUACUUAUACAGGGUUUUAUUCUAUGUUGCAGUCACUAUAAAAACAUUUAAUUGUAACAUAUAUUAGUUUAUAUUUAAUAGAAAUCAUAUGCACAUAAUAAACCCAAAUAAAAACUCAGGACAUUGAGGCUUAGGUGAGCUUCUUGGUUGGUGAAAACAAGACAUGCCAGGAGGGUAAUACAUACCCUGAUUCCAUGGGCAGAGGACAUGGAAGCUCUGCUUUUGGGAACUUCCUAGAUCUCACCCAGUUAUAUUCAUAGUUGCUUCUCUUUUAGAUAUCCUUUGGACAUUAGGGAAGAACUUCCACAUUUAUUGUAUUGGAUAGCCUCAAACAUUAUAAAAAUGUACCACUAUCAUCCCUAAAUCAUAUCAGUUAUCUGAAAUUCUGCCUUAUCAGAUUUUUCCAUACGCAGCCUCAGCUGAAUGAGAAUAGGAAUUCUCCUAGGAAUGAAAGCCUAGAAGGAAUAUUCCAAUAGUUUCUACUAUCUUCUUUAUUUGGCUCUGCUCUAUUCAAUAUAUUCCCUCAAUGACUUGAAUAAUUACAUGGCAACAUGCUUGUCAAAUUUGCAAGUGACAAACAGCUUGUCUAAAUAGCUAAUAUUUUAUAUGAUAGGCUCAAGAGCACAAAAUAACUCAAGCAAUUUAAUGAGUAGGCCAAAAUUAAUAAAGUGGCAAUUCAUAGAGGUGAUUAGGCCAACAUCUGACACACAGUAGUCACUCUAUAAAUGACUGU
Molecule: long non-coding RNA, 4210 nt
Filed under: Sus scrofa (pig)
Lineage: Eukaryota; Metazoa; Chordata; Mammalia; Artiodactyla; Suidae
Description: lncRNA (ENSSSCG00030046188.1)
Source: RNAcentral